RNAcentral lists this long non-coding RNA (1294 nucleotides) under Ricinus communis (castor bean). RNAcentral's name for it is "long non-coding RNA (RCOM_LNC002114)". The record is from RNAcentral. Lineage: Eukaryota; Viridiplantae; Streptophyta; Magnoliopsida; Malpighiales; Euphorbiaceae.
UGGAUAAUUUUUCUUUAUUUUAUUCUUUUUUGGCGUUCCCUCUGUAAAAAGUUUUAAUAAAUCAAUAUUCAAUUGAAAUAAAAAAAUAUACAAUAAGAUAAUAUUAUUUGCAUAUUAAAUAUAUACGAUGAUGAUGACAAAAUAAAAUAAAAUAAAAUAAAAUAAUUAAAUACAAGGUUUGUUUUAUUUAAACAUUGAUAUCUGAAAUAUUUUAUUUAAGUAGAAAAAAUAAAUGAAUUAUGUUCAUUUUUGUAACUUUAUAAAAGUAAAUAGAAUAGAAUUAAGCUUGAUGUUAUAUAUAUUUGAUAAUCUUAUUGUAGUGUAAACGAGCAUAUUUGUGUAUACUUAUGACUCCUUUCAUUUAAACUUGUGAUUGUUAGAGAACGAUAGAUAUGAUUAUUUAAUAUGUUUAACCCUCACAGAAAGAUUUUCGAAAUCCAUUUUCGUUCCAUACUAAACCAAACUAUUUCAAAAGUGUAACCUGAUAGAGAGAUUUAUCAAAGGUGACACUUGAGAUACUAAUAUACGGAAAAAAAAUAUCACAUGUAUAUUAAUAUAUCUAUUUAUUUAUUACCAUUAGUUAUUAAAAUUUUAAAGUUUAUAUUAAUUAAGUUGACCGACUAAAAUUCAAAAAAUAUAUUAAUUAAUUCAACCGAUACAAAUGCACAACGCUACAUGUCACGAUUGUUGAAAUCCCACUCUGAUUCUUGAAAUCCCAUUUGUGGUUACUCUGGUUCGCGAUAUACCGAGCUCAGAAGGCAAACUAAUACCACUACAAAAUUGAUUUUAUGACCUACAAAAUUAAAAUUUCCAAGAUUGGCAUCUGAAUUUUCAGAUCAAAAUCUUCCGAAUGUUUAGAUAUUCACACCAAAGCGACCAAAGAUAUUUAAAAAAUUCCCACCAUAGAUUCUUGAAAUCCCAUUUGUGGUUACUCUGGUUCGCGAUAUACCGAGCUCAGAAGGCAAACUAAUACCACUACAAAAUUGAUUUUAGGACCUAUAAAAUUAAAAUUUCCAAGAUUGGCAUCUGAAUUUUCAGAUCAAAAUAUUCCGAAUGUUUAGAUAUUCACACUAAAGCGACCAAAGAUAUUUAAAAAAUUCCCACCAUAGAUUCUUGAAAUCCCAUUUGUGGUUACUCUGGUUCGCAAUAUACCGAGCUCAGAAGGCAAACUAAUACCACUACAAAAUUAAUUUUAAGACCUACAAAAUUAAAAUUUCCAAGAUUGACAUCUGAAUUUUCAGAUCAAAAUCUUCCGAAUGUUUAGAUAUUCACACCAAAGCGACCAAAGAUAUUU